This 169-nucleotide ribosomal RNA is filed under the name Scomber australasicus (blue mackerel). RNAcentral's name for it is "partial 12S rRNA". Lineage: Eukaryota; Metazoa; Chordata; Actinopteri; Scombriformes; Scombridae. The record is from RNAcentral.
CACCGCGGUUAUACGAUAGGCCCAAGUUGACAGACCCCGGCGUAAAGCGUGGUUAGGGAAAACUCAAAACUAAAGCCGAAUAUCUUCAGGGCAGUUAUACGCUUCCGAAGACACGAAGCCCUUCCACGAAAGUGACUUUAUUGCCCCCGACCCCACGAAAGCUAGGACA